GUCUUAUUGAUUAUAAUUUUAAGUCUAAUCUGCCCAGUGAUUUAUUAAAUGGCUGCAGUAUUUUAACUGUACAAAGGUAGCAUAAUAAUUAGUUUCUUAAUUAGAAACUGGAAUGAAAGAUUGAACGAGACAAUAACUGUCUUAAUUUAAAUUUAAGAAAUUUAUUUUUAAGUUAAAAAGCUUAAAUAUUUUUAAAAGACGAGAAGACCCUAUAGAAUUUUAUAUUAUUAUUAUAUUUAAAUUUUAGUAUAUAAAUUUUAAAUUUUUUUAAAGGUAUUUAGUUGGGGUGAUUGGAAAAUUUAUUUAACUUUUUUUAUUGUGAAUCAUUUAUUUAUGUUUUUUUGAUCCAAAUUUUUUGAUUAUAAGAUUAAAUUACCUUAGGGAUAACAGCGUAAUUUUUUUAGAGAGUUCUUAUCGAUAAAAGAGAUUGCGACCUCGAUGUUGGAUUAAAGUUAAUUUUUAAUGUAGAAGUUAAAAUAUUAGGUCUGUUCGACCUUUAAAACUUUACAUGAUCUGAGUUUAAAUCGGCGUGAGCCAGGUUGGAUUCUAUCUUUAAUAAGUUUUAAUAUU
RNAcentral lists this ribosomal RNA (570 nucleotides) under Quaestus olajensis. Its description in RNAcentral is "partial large subunit ribosomal RNA". The stretch from base 383 to 541 matches the Rfam family "Bacterial large subunit ribosomal RNA", at positions 2473 to 2632 of the family's 2925-position model. The record is from RNAcentral. Lineage: Eukaryota; Metazoa; Arthropoda; Insecta; Coleoptera; Leiodidae.